RNAcentral lists this long non-coding RNA (11903 nucleotides) under Ananas comosus (pineapple). Its description in RNAcentral is "long non-coding RNA (ACOM_LNC007994)". Lineage: Eukaryota; Viridiplantae; Streptophyta; Magnoliopsida; Poales; Bromeliaceae. The record is from RNAcentral.
GAUUUUGAUCUGAAAUUUAUUUUUUUUUUGUUUUUUUUUUUUUGAGAGAUAUGUAGCACGCUAUCCACUUCGUUUAUUUCAUUUAGAAAUAAAUUUACCUGAAAAUGUGAAUCAAUUAAGAUUCGAACUUAGAUUUCGGAUACCAACCAUCAAAUUCUUUGCCACUUACUCAAGGGACGGUCGUUGAUUUGAAAUUUUGUUCAUAAUUAUUCUUGGCAGAGUAAUUGUUACAUGUGAGAUUUAUUUUUUGUUUACAAGCCACAUGACAAGACAUGGGUCUAAUCAAUCAAUCAAUCAAUCAAAUUUUUUAGAGUUUUCGUUCAAAUGCUAUUUGAAUAGAAUUAUUUAAAAAUACUCGUUGGGCAAAUUUUUAUUAUAGUUUCUUCUUUCUCAAAAUAUAAGUAUAAUUUUAAAAUCCGAACUCUGUACUUCCAGCCAAAGUUGGAGGAACCGAUCAUUUGUAUAUAAAUUGCCUAGCUAAGGUUCAUGAAGUAGAAAAAUCUCUUAAUAAGAGAAUCAUGCAUGCGGAGAUCGACGUACAUAUUCAUGCAGGACCAGGUGGAGAAAUCCUCCAAUAUUAUUCUAUUAAAUAAAUAGUCCGCUUCACUGUGAGAAGAAAGAGAUGAAUUUACAAAUACAAAAAAACAUGCGAGGCACAAAUCGCUGAAUUGAUGGGAGGCAUCCUUUUGUUGUAUCUACUGCAUACAUCACAUUUGCGGGUGAAAGAGAUAGUUAAAUUGGUAUUGAAUAAGACAAUAUAUAUAUAUAUAUAUAUAUAGCACCCCAUAGAUACAUACAUACAUACAAACAUACAUACAUAAAUGCAACGCAUGCAUACAGCAUACGUAUAUAAUUUUAUGAUCUCUGUAUAUUGAAGAAAAUCAAAUGGUUACUAUGUUUGGCCCCAAACAAAACUCGAUACAAAUAUCCGCACAAAAUAUAUUACCCACCCCUCUGAACAUCAUCUAAUUAUUCCUGAAACAAAUAUUAUACAAGCAGCUGGACAAACGUUCAUGUAUUUGUAUAUAUAUAGUAGUGAUAGAAAGAAUCCCACCGCAGUGGCCAACAAAUUAUUUUUAUUAUUUUUUAUAUGAAAGAUGGAGAAGGCGAAGGCGCAGCUGCAUCCUUCUUGCUGACGAACCCACCACCGGAAACUGGUCCAGGCGCCGGGCCUUCGCCCUUCUUGCUGACGAACCCACCCCCAGAAACUGGUCCAGGCGCCGCACCCGAACUCAAGAGCUCCGCCAUCGCGCGGCGAGGGUUCGAGCGUUGAGUCUCGCACAGAUCAGGUAGGAACACACCUGUUAACACCAAUUGUAUCAGCCUUCACUUUCUUUUUCCGGACGUAUAUAGUAAAUACUGUGAGCAGUGAGCUAACACUGAAUUGGACGGUGAAUUUUAAAAGGCAAUCUAAUGAAGGAGAACCAGAUGCUCCUUGUUAAAGUUUUGCCAGUAAAAUAAGCCCCACACGUACCUAUGGUGUAUACACACAUAUGGUGACUUUCUUGUUGGACUUCAUCUAGGGCCCAACAUUUCCAAAGCCCAGAUAAUGAACAUCACGUAGUCCAUCUUUUUUUUUUUUUUUUUAAAUAUGAUUUUUUCUUUUAAUUUUUCCGUGAGACAUUCCUAUCGUCUUUACUAGGUCCUUUUCUCUCUGUUUUAUGCUUCAAUCCCACUUUGGGUAUCUCCGCGUGAUCGUUACGUACGACCAUAGGAAGUUAACUGCACCUGUUGUGUGCUUCACUAUUAUUUGUCUUAUUUAAUUAAUCUUAAAUUAUAAAAUAAAUACUUCGCAAAAGAGGUAGAUUAAUGAAUUAAAAAAAAUAAAAAAUAAAAAAAAAGUUAACGUGACCUUCUCCGGCGGCGAGGUUGAAGUAGAGGUCGACGAUGUUGGGGCAGUUGUGGUAGCAGGAGGGGGAGCAGAGGUUGGAGGUGAAGCGCGGGUCGAGGAGGGAGUCGGAGGAGAUGCCGACGGUGCUGCGGUCGACGCCGCACGCCCGCACGCACUCGUCCGUCUCGAUCCAGUCCGACAUCCGCCCCACCGUCACCUCCGACGUCCGGCACUGAUACUCCGUCCCCGCACCCCCGCUCCUCGGCGCGCUCUCCAGCAGGCACCGCUUCGACUCCCACGAUAUCGAGAACGCGCACAGGUCCUGCGGCAGCUCCUCACACACCACUCCCGCCCCUUCAAAUUCAAAUUCAAAAAUUCAAAUUCAAAUUCAAAGUUUAAAUUUAAAAAACAUGCAUGCAUGGAUGCAUGUCAGCUCUAUAAAUGCGUAAUAUUAGCAGUAAAGCCAGAAUCAAAUUCAAAUCAUCUGAUGUCCUACAGCCAGAAAUCAAAACAAAUAAAACAUAAAAAUGCGUACGGAGCACGCACGCGCACGAAAGACAAAUGCAAUGGUUAUUUGUAGGUGCACAUAUAUAUAUAAUUAAAUGUGGAUAUACGUACCAAGAGCCGAUGGAAGGACGAGGGAGAGGGAGAAUAGAAGGGCCAAGCCCAUGUUAGCAAGAGAAGAGGACGCCAUUAUCAAUGGUGGUGGUGGUGGUGGUGGUGGUGGUGAGAGAGGGAGACGGAGGGGUGAUGAAUGAGAGCUUUGUUUAGGUUGGAGCUUAAUUGGUGGCAAUGGAGAGCGAGAGAAGGGGACGAGUUUCGGGGGUUUAUAUAAUAAAAGGCUAAUAAAGAACGGGAAGUGUUUCGGGUACGAAUCCAACAAUUUCGGUCUCUAUUUGUGGCUUUAACCUUCAACUGCGCAUCCCCUUUUAUAUAUAUUUUUUUCAAUUUAUUUUUUUCCACUCCUUUUCUUUAUUUAUUUAUUUAUUUAUUUAUUUAUUGCAUAAUUUCCAACCAUCACGCGGUGUUGGGCUUUGAAACAUCCGUGACGGCGAAUUAUCAUAACUCAUAAUUAAGCACCAAAUGCCAAUAAAAAGCUACCGCGUAUGGCACCAAGCAACGUACCGAUAUUUUGCACCUAUCACGUUCGAGCUUGAGAAUAGAUACGUAACGUCGGUGGCACGCGAACUUUUGCAUUUACUUUUCUUUUAAAAAAAAAAAAAUUUGACGGUUCGUAUGUAAGUUUGUAAUUAACGAGUCUGUUCUUACUAAUAAUAUCAAUUAUAAUUAUUAUUGUUAUUAUUAUUGUUAUCAUCGCGUCGAGUCAAACUCAAAGACUCGUGCGCACGUUGUCCGUUGACGACGACGAGACGUGAUGGAAGGUAAGAAAGCAUUGGCAUCUGAGGUGGGGUUUGAUCUUUGAACUUUGAACGAUUCAAAUGUGGCGAGAGAAGCUUCGUUCCCACUUCAAUACAAGUUCGCAAUCACCCUCGUUUCGUUCCGUUGCGUUUGGGCCCAUCGAUCCCAAUUAAUUAAAUUAAUUUGGUCCAUGUGGCGGAAUUUGUGGGUGCCAUUUUGAUGGGCAACAACGAUCCAUGUGGACAUAGAAAAAUGGUGGUUAACAACUGGGACAUGGGAGAGAUCGAAAUCGGAAGUCGUCGCCGCGUCGUUUUCUUUUCUCAGUGCAUUAUUAUUCCCUAAGCAAAGUCUCGUGGGUUCUAGAAAAGCUCGCAAAUCAUGUGCAUUUUUUAGGCUUGUUUUGCACCUAGCUAAAAUUAUUUUUCUUGGAAUAAUCGGCUCACACAACACGUAAUUAAAUGGAUUUGCAUAAAAAUUGCAAAAAUUAUUCAAAACUACUGCAAUUAAAAAUUCUCAAAUUUUUGUUGUAAUGAAUUCUUUUGGUUGAUCGAACAUGUACUCCACAAUCUCGGUGUUGACGCGAGAAGUCGUUGCCUACACAGCUGUUUGGAUCCCGAAGUAUUGUAAAUUGCGUUUGUAAAAUUAAAUAUCACAAUUAACGCUCGACCUUGGAAUGCAGAAUUGUAAGUCAUAGAGUAUUGGUAACGGUUCGCGGCCAUUUUUAUGACAUUCAUUGGAAUCCACAUGUGGAAACUGCACAUGCUGACCAGCAAAGCAAAGUAUAAUUUUGUUUUCCUCUUAGAAUUAGCUAAUUCAUCUCAAUUUCUAACUUGGUGCCUUGUCUUUUAAUGGGACUAAAUCCUCCUAUCACUUACGGUUCAAACCCACUAUUGCACCGAGAAUAUUGGUUCAACAGUGAUUAGACGUAAGAAUUAAUUGUGCUCUGUGUGUAUUGUGCAAGAGUUUUUUUUAUCUAUGAUCAGUUUUAGUUUAAUGUUGCGUUUUCGAUAGAUUAUACAUCUUUUUCAGCUCAGAGUUUAGGAACUCCACAUAUUAUUAGUGCAGAGAUUGCAAGUUCAGGGCCUCACAAAAGCUUUCCACAUCCUCAAAUCUCUCCAGUAAUACUAUUGCGCGAGCAGGAUAGAGCUGAGAGAUCGAGCAUAUCUGAGUGUACAGUAAAAUGAUGCCUUUCUUAAGCGUCUACGAUGUAGAAUAAAGAACGCAAAACUUUCUCUUUUGUAGCCUUACAGGCCAUGUGAGAUCUAUAAAGGCAUCGGCUGCAUCAGAUUCAGCAUGGUUUACUUUAGGGCAAGUGUGGAGAGAGGUUCGUGGCAUCCAUUUUUGUCAAGCUCGAAACUGACGGUGCCGGGACCGGCCAACCGGAGGAGUAAAGAGCCCGAAAAAUGGCCUAGCCCGAUACGACACGACACAACACGAUCUGCAUGAAAGACACAUUUAGUCUAUUUGUCAACAAAAAUAGGCGCAUAUAAAUUUAACCUACAAAAGACACAAUAUGCAUACUAGUUAACUGUCUGAAAUUUUAAAUUUGAAGUCUAAUUAUUUUAUAUUUUUUAAAUAUUUUUUUAAAAAACUUAACAUAACGAACAAUAUACUAUCUUUCUCUCCUGAAAAAGUAAAAAAAAUAGAGUCAGGGAAAAUAUAUGGGAAACCAUUAAAUGGGGCCCACCGAGGCAUCCACGAUGCAGCUUCACCUCAAACAAAUAGAAAACUUUCUAUUUCUUAGAUUGAAGGAAAAGUGUAAUGGAGCCCAGAGAUAGAAUAGUCAAUACGAAGGCUGGGCCGUGUCGAAGCGUCUUAAAUUAAACCGGGCCUUUCAAACAAUGGGGCCGAUGUGGGCCCAAAUACGCACGGGGCCGCCACGGCUUAACAGGCCUAAGAAAUGAUCCAAAAUGAGCCUAGGCCUGGCUUUUGAUAAGUCUAUUUAUGGUAUGCCACGGGUUUUUACCUAAAAUGGAAAGUUUUCCGUUUCGAGGGUAGGAUAACUGAGAGUACGGAAUAUUUGUUAGUUCAAUCGGGUUUUGUUAGAUUUAAUUAUUUUAAGUAUCUUUUAUAAAAAUUAAACUGCAAAAAUUAACAAAAUGAUGGCUCCCAGACUUACCUAAUUUAUGGGUCUUAAUUCAUUCCUAUUUGUAUUCUAAUAAUAUUUUUGUAGUAAAAUAAUUGACCAAUCUAUAGUAGGUAAUAAUUUCCUGUGAUGUUUGAGAUUUAAAAGUGUAGAGUAUAUUUUAAAUACAAAAUAAAAAAAAAGACGAGCCCAUCACUUGUCCUGUGGCCCAAUUAUGUACGAGUCCAAAGGGCCCAUUUAAUUUGGGCCCAUAUGGCGGCCCAGGCCUGCAUUUUUCAAGACUAUUUUUGGUUAGUUUCGGGACCUACUUAAAAAGGACACUUUUCAGUUUUGACGUGACAAUACAGUAAUGGAGCAUCCACUGGGGCGAUACGCUCACCACCACGUUCGAAUAACCCGACGUUUUUUUAAGCAACAGUCCACGAAAAAAAUUAUUUUGAAGGAAACGAGGCGAUUGAUGCGGGAGGGUGAGCGCACUGGCGGUGACCGGACUCGAAAAGCCCAGCCCAUAUGUCAAUUGACUAGCGAAUCAAUAGCGAUCCAAUAUCCCCGCGAUACGCUCACCGCCACCUAGCAUAACCGCAGCGUUUUGUGCGCAGCAAUCCACCAAAAAAAUUAUUUUGAAGCAAACGCGACGGUUUGUGCGGAAGGGUGAUCUCACUGGAGGUGACCGGACUCAGAAAGUGGUGUGAAAAUAUAGGCCGGCCCAAUAAGUCAAUUGCCCGGUGAAUUAAUGCGGCCCAGCCCAACAUCGACCAACUAUUGAUGCCAUAUAGGCCGAAUUAAUUGACGGGGCGAACUAAUCGAAUGGGCCUUAUUGCGAAACCACAGCCUAAAGAGUUGAGGUGCAAUUAGAUGGGCCUUCUUAAGACCCCAAGCUAGCUCAUUUUGAUAACACGUUUGAACUUAACUAAUACAUAGUCAUUGAGGCCCUAAACAUAUUUUUGUAUUAUUGUUAUUUUUUAAUUGGAGUUGCAUACGAAGAUAACCUGUUCUAAGUGCUAAAAUUCAAUGGCCCUUCUCUCUCAAUCUCUCUGCUCUGCUCUGCUCUGCUCUGCAAAUAAGUAGACAUGGGUUUUUCUCACAGGGAUCCGCUGCUCACCAGCAAGCUUAGCAAGAACAGAUAAACAGUUUGAUUCAUACACAGUAAAUAUUCAAUGGCGUAUUGAAUAUUUACGCCAGUGAAUAUUCACAGAGCAAAAAUAACCAAAAGAAAAAAAGAAGCAAUGUCUUUUGUUGUAUUAAUUGGUAUUGUGGUAACUUAUGGUUAGUCAUAAUUCAGCUGAUCUGUUUUCCAAUUAUUUGAGGUUUAUUUCAACUAUCAUUCCUCCCCCAUUCUUUUCAUCAGGUCGUUGGUUAACCUCUAUGCUGCUGGAGAAUAAAGCAAGCGAAUUGAUGGUCCGGAGAGCUUGCUUUCCCGCUUCAGUAUUAAACAUGCCCUGGUCGCUGGUCGAAGCGGCACGCUAACAGCAACGUGCCAUUAUAUCGCCUUUGGGUCCCAGCGAUACGCUCACCGCCGCACACGAAUAACCCCGACGUGUAGUAAGCAACAACCCACGGAAAUUUUUUUUUUGUAGGAAACGAGACGAUUACUGCAGGAGGGUGAGCACACGGACGGUAACCGGACUCAGAUAGCCCGGCCCAAUAAGUCACUAGCGAAUCAAUAACCGGAGCAAAUGGAGGCCCAACAUCCCAGCGAUUCGCUCAUCGGGCUUGGAUAGCCUGGCCCAAUACGUCAAUUGGCUGGUGAAUUAAUGCGGCCCAAAAUUGGAUCAACUUUCCAUGAUUCAUGGGCUGACUUAAUCGAAUGGGCUCAUCGCUAAAGCACAGCUUAAAUAGGUGAGGUGCAACGACAUGGCCAUCCUUAAGAGCCCAAACUUUGUACACUGAACCACGCACCUAAUGGUUUUUGUUUUUUUUGCGUCCAGUGCGAUAAAAUUUGUCCAGAAAAUAGAAAACCACUAGUAGCUCUCGAGUUAUAACUUUAGCAAAGCACUCAACGCACCCAGAAAAGUAAAAUGGAAUAAGGUGUGGCUUGAUAAAUAUGAAGAGGCCUGCUUUAAAAAUGAAUACAUUUUCAACUUUCUCAUGAUAAAUAUGAAGAGGAGAAAAGUAGAAUAUCUUUCGUUUUUUACCUCUUAUUAUUUUGGCACAUAUCUUUUUUACCUCUUCUUAUUUUGGAACAUAUCUCCUGGACAAAAAUCAUCAACAAACUAGUGUGUGUAUGGCAUGAAGGUUAAGCGGUCCCACGAGGAGUAGAAACAAUACUAUCCUCACAUUCCCCACCCGCUGAGACACCCAAUCCAAACUUCCAAACUACAAUAUCCUCACAUUCCCCACCCGCUGAGGCACCCAAUCCAAACUUCAAACUACAACCCCCCAAGAAGAACACAUGGAUCAGAAACGCGGGAAACUAAAGCAACAAUGGCUGCCUCAGCUGCGAUCUCUGCUCCCUCUCAGCUCCUCUGCAGCAGAGCUUCGACCCGUAUCUCACCCUUUCCGCAUUUGGUCCUCUCGCUUUUGCCCGGGAGGGCCUGCUCACACCAUGUGCGCUCUUCUCCAGCUUCAAAUAUACGAUGCGCUGCAGUGGACGCCACAGCGUCGCAAGUGGAGACGGUGGCAACCAAGAAGAAGAGCAGCUUUGCAGUGCAGACGCUGACAACAUGGCUGCUGAAGCAGGAACAAGCAGGCAACAUCGACACAGAGCUGACCAUCGUCCUUUCGAGCAUCUCCGUGGCGUGCAAGCAGAUUGCCUCCCUAGUCCAACGGGCCAGCAUCGCCAAUCUCACAGGCGUCCAGGGCGCCGUCAACGUCCAAGGCGAAGACCAGAAGAAACUUGAUGUCAUCUCUAACGAAGUAAUCGAUUAAUCAACACUCAAUCUGCCCUUUCUGUUCUGCAAGUAACUACAAAGUUUGGCAAUUCUCGUAAACUACAGGUGUUCUCAAAUUGUCUGACAUCAAGCGGGCGUACAGGAAUCAUAGCCUCAGAAGAGGAGGACGUGCCGGUGGCCGUAGAAGAGAGCUACUCCGGCAAUUACAUCGUGGUGUUCGACCCCCUCGACGGCUCCUCCAACAUCGACGCGGCCGUCUCCACUGGCUCCAUCUUUGGCAUCUACAGUCCCAAUGAUGAGUGCCUUGCUGACACCGGUGACGAUGCCACAGUAUACAUGCUCCCUUUCCUAAUCUUUUUCCCCCGGUCCGAACACACGUAGUAGAUUGAAUCUUAUGGUUCUGACCUUUGUAAUAUGGCAAUGACAGCUCGAUCAGACGGAGCAGAGGUGCGUGGUCACCGUGUGCCAGCCUGGAAGCAACCUACUUGCCGCAGGAUACUGCAUGUACUCCAGCUCAGUGAUCUUCGUGCUUACAGUGGGGGAGGGCGUGUUCGUGUUCACGCUGGACCCCAUGUAUGGCGAGUUUGUGCUGACCCAGGAAGAGGUGAAGAUACCGCGAGCAGGCAAGAUAUACGCGUUCAACGAAGGAAACUACCAGCUGUGGGAAGACAAGUUGAAGCAGUACAUGGACAUCCUCAAGGACCCUGGGCCAUCAGGGAAGCCCUACUCGGCCCGGUACAUCGGCAGCCUCGUCGGGGACUUCCACCGGACUUUGCUGUACGGUGGCAUAUAUGGAUAUCCCCGCGAUAAGAAGAACAAGAAUGGGAAGCUCAGGCUGCUUUACGAGUGCGCUCCGAUGAGUUUCAUUGUGGAGCAGGCUGGCGGGAAGGGAUCGGACGGCCACCAAAGGAUUCUCGACAUCAAGCCUGAAGAGGUAAGCUACCGUUACUUUUGUUGUAGUUCAUCUCGUUCUGUCUGAAACCAGAGAAUAAAUAUAGCUUAGAACAGUUAGUAUGCACACCGGGCUAAUACGGCGAAAUACAAAUCUUUGAUUUUACUAGAUCCAUCAAAGAGUUCCACUAUUCAUCGGAAGCGUUGAAGAAGUCGAGAAGUUGGAGAAGUUCUUGGCAUGAUCCUUUUGUACGGAAGGCCGGUUAGCCUCACAUAGGACUAUAUUUUGGAAGCCUUCCGCACACUCCAAAAUUUUAAGAAACUCCUAUGCCCAUCUUUAUUUAUUGUUUCACAUGCAGCAGAUGUAUUUUUUAUACGUAGUUUCCAUCGUAUCUAUUGUUACAGAUAGAAUUUGAUGAGGAUACCACUGCCAGUAUUCUGGGCAUUCAUUCAUCUGGCAUCAAAUUUUAAACCUAUGAAAAUGAAUGGAAAAAUAAAAUGCUUCAUGAUUGGCCCUAUUAACAACUUUUAGCAACAUUAAAUUUCAGCAAAUUUUUGCGGUACUUAGAGCGUAGUACAUACCAAAUAAACCUUACGCUGCAGGCAAAUUAAUCUAUCAAUCAUGCUCAAAGAAUCAAGCGGAAAGACAAAAAAAAAAAAAAAAAUCACAAAUUCGAAGAAGUAGAAGGAAUAGUCACACAUCAUAGGAUAAGAUUCACACGAUUUAUUUACACGCAAAGUGGCCCGGCAUACAGCACGACCAAGACACGCAUCAGUAAUUCACCAGCAAUUCAAAAUACAAAAAUGCACGAGAAUCGCUCGACGAAAUGCGAUGGACAGAGAAAGAAGGCACCGAACCGACCCUAACGAGUAAGUAGCAGCACACUACACAUUACACUACGAUUAAAGAGAGACUCAGAUCAGACGCACAGAGAGAGAGACGAUGACGAAGUAGAUGAGACCUAGAAGAUUUAUUCGUUCUGGGAAGGAAGGAAGGAAGGAAGGAAGGAAGGAAGCAAAGCUGCUGCUGGUGCUGUGCUGAUCAGCAUCAUCGUGAUCAGCCGGAGAUCUGGACGGACUUGACCUGGGGCUUCUUGACGUCCUCCUUGGGGACGGUGACGGUGAGCACGCCGUUCUCCAUGGCGGCCUUGACCUGAUCGACCUUGGCGUUGUCGGGGAGGCGGAACCUGCGUAGGAACUUGCCGCUGCUGCGCUCCACGCGGUGCCAGGUGUCGUUCUUCUCCUCCUUCUCCCUGGUGCGCUCGCCGCUGAUCUGCAGGACGUUGCCCUCCUCCACCUCCACCUUCACCUCCUCCUUCUUCACCCCCGGCAGAUCCGCCUUGAACACGUGCGCCUCCGGCGUCUCCUUCCAAUCUAUGCGGGCGCCCGCGAACGACGCUGUCUCCGCGGGGAAGGACGCCGAGGGGCGCGGGAACGAGAGGGCGCCGCCGAAGGGGAAGCCCUCGAAGGGCUCCCACAGGUCGAGGGAGAAGGGAUCGAAGAUGUUGCUUCGCCGAACCAGAGACAUGAUGAUCGCUUCCGAAGACGACGCUUCUUCAGAGGGUUUAGGAUGGAUGGAUUGUUCCGAUGAGACUGCCUGCUUGCUUGCACUUGAUGGAUGAUGAUGGGUCGAUGAGGCUAGAGCGGAGUGGGGAGACCUAUAUAUAGAUAGAGAGAGAGAGAGUUUCUCGAACGUUCCCCAGGCUUCUUCCGAUUACUCUCGACGGUUCCGGAACCGCCAGCCGAUCAGACAAACCGGUUCAAGCGAACCGCGAGAACCAUCGCGUCCGUUCUAGCACUUUCUCGACAAAGGCGUGCGUUACCGUACUUACGGCGCUAUGAGAUGCUUCGCCACCGACUUCACCUUUCGCGCAAGGUUAUAUUGAAUACUGCAAAUCGAUAUGUCUCGUCGCCGACUUUGUUGUUUAUGUUUCGCUGCAGAGUAUGCUUAUAAUUUAUACCCCACUAGCUCCAUGAUUCCAAAUCCUCUAAGUCCAAGACAAAGACAGAAACUUGUGGGUCGUUUUAGCGCGAGCAUUACAGCAGUUGAUUAACUGAAUACAUACACCACGGUCCCACCCAACAACGAACACACAUACACACACACAUACACAAAAAAAGGAAGAGUAUAGACAUGUUAGUUUGCAAACUAAUAUCACAAACAAAGGCAACAAGAAAACCAAAUGACCUCUUAAUGACAUUAGCUCUGAUGCCUACACUUUCGCUUUGAGAGAGAGAGAGAGAGAGAGAAAAGCAAAAAGGACUGUUGUAUCUGAUUUCAAAAUGAAUAACACACAAAUAUAUAUACUCUAAAAUUAUUGCAUAUUACAAACCGCCUCGCAAAUAUUUUUUUUGAGAGAUAGGUAGCCAAAUAUUUUUUUUGAGAGAUAGGUAGUACGCUAUCCGUUUCGUUUAUUUCAUUUAGAAAUAAACUUAGCUAGAAAUGUGAAUCAACUAGGAUUCGAACUUGGGUCUCGGAUACCAACCACCAAGCCCUUUGCCACUUGCUCUAGGGACGGUCGGUCACCUCGCAAAUAUUUAAGAAUGGUUACCCAUCAACUUUGUCAAAAACGGAAUUACACUGUUUCAGAUAGAUCCCUGAACCUCUUUACAUUGCUACAGCAUGCAAUCAUCAGAAAAGGAUUAGAGGCGGAAGCUCACAUCAUCCAAAUUCAGCUAUACCAGUCAAUGAACAGGAUGGAGAAAGUAAGGACGACAAAGAAAAGCAAAAGAAAAGUUCUGCUGCUGCUAUUGCGCUUGAUUGCCUGCAACAUCUCCUUUUUGCCUAGAACUACAUUGUUCUUAGCUUCAACAACCCGAUAAAAUGUGUCAAAAGGAUCAGAAAUGUAAACAAACAAGGAGUGCACAUACAGGACCUACUAUUUUAGUUACAAGAAUAAACAAA